CCUACGGGUGGCAGCAGUGAGGAAUAUUGGUCAAUGGCCGAGAGGCUGAACCAGCCAAGUCGCGUGAGGGAAGACGGCCCUACGGGUUGUAAACCUCUUUUGUCGGGGAGCAAAGCGAGUCACGUGUGACUCAUUGAGAGUACCCGAAGAAAAAGCAUCGGCUAACUCCGUGCCAGCAGCCACGGUAAUACGGAGGAUGCGAGCGUUAUCCGGAUUUAUUGGGUUUAAAGGGUGCGCAGGCGGAGGUGCAAGUCAGCGGUCAAAUUGCGGGGCUCAACCCCGUACUGCCGUUGAAACUGGAUCCCUUGAGUGCGCGAGAGGUAUGCGGAAUGCGUGGUGUAGCGGUGAAAUGCAUAGAUAUCACGCAGAACUCCGAUUGCGAAGGCAGCCUGCUGGACAUUAACUGACGCUGAGGCGCGAAAGCGUGGGGAGCAAACAGGAUUAGAUACCCCAGUAGUC
This 459-nucleotide ribosomal RNA is filed under the name uncultured bacterium. Its description in RNAcentral is "partial 16S ribosomal RNA". It matches the Rfam family "Bacterial small subunit ribosomal RNA", at positions 338 to 795 of the family's 1533-position model. The record is from RNAcentral.